AUUGAACGCUGGCGGCAUGCUUUACACAUGCAAGUCGAACGGCAGCGCGGGCUUCGGCCUGGCGGCGAGUGGCGAACGGGUGAGUAAUGCAUCGGAACGUGCCCAGUCGUGGGGGAUAGCCCGGCGAAAGCCGGCUUAAUACCGCAUACGACCUGAGGGUGAAAGCGGGGGACCGAAAGGCCUCGCGCUAUUGGAGCGGCCGAUGUCGGAUUAGCUAGUUGGUGGGGUAAAGGCUUACCAAGGCGACGAUCCGUAGCUGGUCUGAGAGGACGACCAGCCACACUGGGACUGAGACACGGCCCAGACUCCUACGGGAGGCAGCAGUGGGGAAUUUUGGACAAUGGGGGCAACCCUGAUCCAGCCAUGCCGCGUGCGGGAAGAAGGCCUUCGGGUUGUAAACCACUUUUGUUCGGGAAGAAAUACUCUGGGCUAAUACCCCGGGGGGAUGACGGUACCGGAAGAAUAAGCACCGGCUAACUACGUG
This 484-nucleotide ribosomal RNA is filed under the name uncultured bacterium. RNAcentral's name for it is "partial 16S ribosomal RNA". It matches the Rfam family "Bacterial small subunit ribosomal RNA", at positions 28 to 507 of the family's 1533-position model. The record is from RNAcentral.